Molecule: ribosomal RNA, 758 nt
Filed under: bacterium enrichment culture clone 111
Lineage: Bacteria
Description: bacterial SSU rRNA
Rfam family: Bacterial small subunit ribosomal RNA
Source: RNAcentral
AGAGUUUGAUCCUGGCUCAGAUUGAACGCUGGCGGCAGGCCUAACACAUGCAAGUCGAGCGGAUGAGUGGAGCUUGCUCCAUGAUUCAGCGGCGGACGGGUGAGUAAUGCCUAGGAAUCUGCCUGGUAGUGGGGGACAACGUUUCGAAAGGAACGCUAAUACCGCAUACGUCCUACGGGAGAAAGCAGGGGACCUUCGGGCCUUGCGCUAUCAGAUGAGCCUAGGUCGGAUUAGCUAGUUGGUGAGGUAAAGGCUCACCAAGGCGACGAUCCGUAACUGGUCUGAGAGGAUGAUCAGUCACACUGGAACUGAGACACGGUCCAGACUCCUACGGGAGGCAGCAGUGGGGAAUAUUGGACAAUGGGCGAAAGCCUGAUCCAGCCAUGCCGCGUGUGUGAAGAAGGUCUUCGGAUUGUAAAGCACUUUAAGUUGGGAGGAAGGGCAGUAAGUUAAUACCUUGCUGUUUUGACGUUACCGGCAGAAUAAGCACCGGCUAACUUCGUGCCAGCAGCCGCGGUAAUACGAAGGGUGCAAGCGUUAAUCGGAAUUACUGGGCGUAAAGCGCGCGUAGGUGGUUCGUUAAGUUGGAUGUGAAAGCCCCGGGCUCAACCUGGGAACUGCAUCCAAAACUGGCGAGCUAGAGUAUGGCAGAGGGUGGUGGAAUUUCCUGUGUAGCGGUGAAAUGCGUAGAUAUAGGAAGGAACACCAGUGGCGAAGGCGACCACCUGGGCUAAUACUGACACUGAGGUGCGAAAGCG